GACAUUGCUAUCGGUGUCCGAUUUAGCCAUGACGAGUCGCACGUGCACCGUGGCCAACGGCUCAAUAACACGUGGUCAAACUACCCUACGGACCGUGAUAACCUCGGGAAACUGAGGCUAAUAACGGAUGUCGCUCCCGAGCUGGGAUGCUGGGAGCGAUAAAGCUCCGGCGCCGUAAGAUGUGACUGCGGCCGAUUAGGUAGACGGUGGGGUAAUGGCCCACCGUGCCGAUAAUCGGUACGGGUUGUGAGAGCAAGAACCCGGAGACGGACUCUGAGACAAGAGUCCGGGCCCUACGGGGCGCAGCAGGCGCGAAACCUUUACACUGCACGCAAGUGCGAUAGGGGGACACCGAGUGCGAGGGCAUAGAGCCCUCGCUUUUGUGCAUCGUAAGGUGGUACACGAAUAAGGGCUGGGCAAGACCGGUGCCAGCCGCCGCGGUAACACCGGCAGCCCGAGUGAUGGCCGCUUUUAUUGGGCCUAAAGCGUCCGUAGCCGGCCGUUCAAGUCCGUCCGGAAAUCCACUGGCUCAACCAAUGGGCGUCCGGCGGAAAACGAUCCGCUUGGGACAGGGAGACCAGAGGGGUACGUCCGGGGUAAGAGUGAAGUCCUGUAAUCCCUGGACGGACCAACGGUUGCGAAAGCGCCUCUGGAGAACUGAUCCGACGGUGAAGGACGAAAGCUGGGGUCUCGAAACCGGGAUUUAGAUACCCGGGUAGUCCCAGCUGUUAACAAUGCUCGCUAAGUGUGUCGCAAGCUAACGAACCUGC
RNAcentral lists this ribosomal RNA (770 nucleotides) under uncultured archaeon. Its description in RNAcentral is "bacterial SSU rRNA". It matches the Rfam family "Archaeal small subunit ribosomal RNA", at positions 23 to 794 of the family's 1478-position model. The record is from RNAcentral.